UCGGGACAUAUGAGAGUUCGAUCAUUUAUGUAUGAUUCCUCGUCCACUCAACUUUCUAAUACAAGGGGUUUCGAAGAGAAAAAUCCUUUCUUGGGCCCUAAGCUGACCUAUGUAAAUUGAUGAUA
Telopea speciosissima is the source of this 125-nucleotide long non-coding RNA. RefSeq lists it as uncharacterized. The transcript is spliced from 3 exons. The record is from RefSeq and is a predicted model, not a curated record. Lineage: Eukaryota; Viridiplantae; Streptophyta; Magnoliopsida; Proteales; Proteaceae.